RNAcentral lists this ribosomal RNA (253 nucleotides) under uncultured bacterium. Its description in RNAcentral is "partial 16S ribosomal RNA". It matches the Rfam family "Bacterial small subunit ribosomal RNA", at positions 524 to 776 of the family's 1533-position model. The record is from RNAcentral.
GACGAACCGUGCGAACGUUGUUCGGAAUCACUGGGCUUAAAGGGUGCGUAGGCGGGCUAACAAGUCUGGGGUGAAAUGCCGCGGCUCAACCGUGGAACUGCCUCAGAUACUGUCGGCCUCGAGGGAGAUAGGGGCAUGCGGAACUGUAGGUGGAGCGGUGAAAUGCGUUGAUAUCUACAGGAACUCCGGUGGCGAAAGCGGCGUGCUGGAUCUCUUCUGACGCUGAGGCUCGAAAGCUAGGGGAGCAAACGGG